Molecule: ribosomal RNA, 517 nt
Filed under: uncultured bacterium
Lineage: Bacteria
Description: bacterial SSU rRNA
Rfam family: Bacterial small subunit ribosomal RNA
Source: RNAcentral
AGGGUUCGAUUCUGGCUCAGGAUGAACGCUAGCUACAGGCUUAACACAUGCAAGUCGAGGGGUAGCAGGAUCUAGCAAUAGAUUGCUGACGACCGGCGCACGGGUGAGUAACACGUAUCCAACCUUCCGUUUACUCGGGGAUAGCCUUUCGAAAGAAAGAUUAAUACCCGAUAGUAUGCUUUUCCCGCAUGGGAGAAUCAUUAAAGUUUUUCGGUAAUCGAUGGGGAUGCGUUCCAUUAGGCAGUUGGUGAGGUAACGGCUCACCAAACCUUCGAUGGAUAGGGGUUCUGAGAGGAAGGUCCCCCACAUUGGAACUGAGACACGGUCCAAACUCCUACGGGAGGCAGCAGUGAGGAAUAUUGGUCAAUGGACGAGAGUCUGAACCAGCCAAGUAGCCGUGAAGGAUGACUGCCCUAUGGGUUGUAAACUUCUUUUAUAUGGGAAUAAAGGAGCCUACGUGUAGGUUUUUGUAUGUACCAUACGAAUAAGGAUCGGCUAACUCCGUGCCAGCAGCAGC